UUACUUUUUACUUUGCUAUGACAUGGAAUCUCUAAAAUACUCCAGCAAGUAACAUUGGACAAUAUUGGUAACAAUAAUCCAGCUAUGUAACAAUUUAAUGGCCAACUCAGGUGCCAGCAGCCGCGGUCAUACCUGGAUUAAGUAAAAUACACUUUUCUUUUUCCACUUUAAAGUUUUUAAUAAAGUAAAAUUUUUAAAAAUUCUUAACCAUCUAACAUUUUAAAGAAAUUCUAUUUUUAAAACUAGGAUUAGAUACCCUACUAUUAAGAACAAAAAACAUUCAAGAAAGCACUAAAAUCAACAUGAUUAAAACUUAAAUAAUAUGGCGGCAACUAUAAUUUUUAGGGGAAUUUACACAAUAAUUGACAACCCUCAAGAACGUCCUACAUAUUUUUAUCAUUUGUAUACCGCCGUCUUCAGGUACCAUUUUAGAUUGUACUAUAAUUUUUUUUAAAAAAAGACAGGCCAUGGUGCAGUUUAUAGAUAUGCUGUUGCGAGUUACAAUAAAAUUUGUUUUCGGAGAAACUUUUUAAAAAAAGAUCGUAAGUUGGACUUAAUAGUAAAAAAUAUUAUUCAAUUACUUUUUGAACUUUUUUUUAGUUGUGCACAAAUCGCCCGUCACUCUCGUUGGAAAAAGAGACAAGUCGUAACAUAGUAGGGGUAGUGGAAGCUGUCCCUU
RNAcentral lists this ribosomal RNA (679 nucleotides) under Carychium tridentatum. RNAcentral describes it as "12S ribosomal RNA". Lineage: Eukaryota; Metazoa; Mollusca; Gastropoda; Ellobiida; Ellobiidae. The record is from RNAcentral.